RNAcentral lists this long non-coding RNA (5272 nucleotides) under Sus scrofa (pig). Its description in RNAcentral is "lncRNA (ENSSSCG00050064166.1)". The record is from RNAcentral. Lineage: Eukaryota; Metazoa; Chordata; Mammalia; Artiodactyla; Suidae.
AGGGCCAUACCCACUGCAUGUGGAAGUUCCCAGGCUAGGUCAAAUCACAGCUAUAGCUGCCAGCCUACACCACAGCCACAGCCACAGCAAUGCAGGAUCUGAGGCAUGUCUGCGACCUACACCACAGCUGAUGGCAAUGCCGUAUCCUUAACCCAAUGAGUGAGACCAGGGAUUGAACCCACACCCUCAUGGUUCCUAGUCAGGUUCGUUAACCACUGAGCCAUGAAAGGAACUCCUGUAUUGUUCAUUAUUUAAGGUUUAUUCUUUUAUAUAUAGGAGACUAUAAGACUCAUUCUGCAUUGUUCCAAUGUGUCGUUGGACAACAACAAACCACGACUACAAAUCUACUGAGAGAAGAGACUUCAUUGCUAUGGGAGGGAAAGUAAAGAGAUGAUGGUAAUGAUAAAAAGACAAUGCUUCUGAGUCCCAAAACAAAUUUAUCUGUAGAGACAAAGAAAAGUCUAGUCCACAAAUAGUCUACGUAACACAAGAAAAACGGAAACAAUAUUUUCUAUUUGUUUGAUCUUUUGCAAAGGGAGAAUUCUCCAAUCUCAAUUCUAGGUAGUUCUGAAGUUAUAGAAAAAUAGAAGCUGGUCAAAGAAAUGGAGAGACUCUCCUCCAAAGUCAAGAGAAAGGAUGUUUUCUGGUGCAGAGCUAAUGUUAAAGUAACUCGUUGGUAUAGGGAAGGACUGGCCAACAGGGAACUGCCGUACACAGUCCAGGGAACUCUACCCAAUAUUCUGUGAUAAUCUAUAUGGGAAAAAGAAUCUGAAAAAGAAUGGAUUGUGUGUGUGUGUGUGUGUGUGUGUGUGUGUUUCAAAGUACAAAUCCAGUCCUACUUUAACAGACAUUUUGUUGAUUAUCCAAAAUCCCAAUUUGAAGAAAAUGUUUCUCUUAGUUUCAGGCAAAUAACCAAUAAGACAGUAAGAAUGGACAGUAAGAAUCAAUGUUUCAGUAUUUUCUAUCUGUGAAAAAAUGGACAGGCUAUAAAGAGCAGACUGUGGUAAACCAAAUGUUUCCAUUUUCUUUUUGUUCCAUGGUAAAUGCUAUCUAUUAUUAAAAUGCAAACCACACUAGUCUGUUACUCUAAUUAGGUUUGCCUAAGCCAUUACUAAAUCCAUAGUUACUAAGUAUUGACAGUAACUAUAUUUUCUUUUAGCAUGUUUCACGUGCCUUUACUAUAGUCUUUUAGAAGAAAGAAAAUAUUAUCUCCAUCUUUAUUUUUCAAACCCAAUAUACUGUGUACAGACAGUAACAAAGUUAUAGAAUAGCCCACUUACUUUCAAUACCAGAGCCUACACAGAGUCAAUACUGAUUACCAUCCUUAUAUAUCAUGAUGAUUCAACUGGGGGAACGGUAAUGGUGGUAAGGGAGAGUCAGAAUUUCUCUUAACUGUUCCAGUAAAGUGUCUUUUUAUUCAAAGCUAUUUCAUUCUUGUCAUUCUGUCUUAAUGCAGUACAAUUUAACCACAGCAGCAGUUAAGUUCUGGAUUUUUGCCAUAGCUGAAAUUUUGCACAGUUUUAUUUUAUACAGUAUUAGCCAUUAAGUUAAUAAUUUUAAGGUGAUUAACAUUUAUUUGUAAGACUUUUUCAUUAAGCGAAAUCCACAAAACAAAAAACAGGCUAUCAAAUGCAUGUUGGGAUAUAUGGCUAUUGUCAUGGUUACAUAAUUUUAAUACGAUGGAGGACAUGCGUGUGAGCAGCACAUAGAGUCCAGAACCUUUUGGCAAAGAUGCUGACAAUUCAGAAACAAAAAUAAAUGCUGAUUUGUAUUGUAGAGCAUUGAGGCCAAAGCUAAUGGGACUCAAAAGCAUCACUAUUGUACAGGGAAGAAAGGAUAUUCAUUUCUUGGGGCAUUUGUGACCAAAACUGCCAGUAUCCUGACCUCCUAAGGGUUAAUCUCCUCAAAUUGAUCAUUAAAUAUCCUUUUUCCUAAAAUAGAAAAAAUUCAUAAACCACAGAAUUUUAAAAAUGAAGCUGUAUCGGUCUGGUUUCUCUUUCCAAAAAUAAAAAAAAAUUAAUAAUAAUAAAAAGGAAGUAGGAGGAAAGAUAAAACUAAGGUCCUGAAACAAAGACAUACGACAUUGUUGUUUUCUUUCUUUCUAUGAAGCAGCUUCUAUCUAUUGAAGUUGCUUUGCAAAGACAAAAGUAUGAGCUAGGGGCCAAUAAAUUGUGUGUUUUCCCAACUCAGUUCCUCUGCCUUUGCUGUAGGAAUUUCCCCUGGUAGCUAAGACCUCCUAUAGACCAUAAUUCUUGCUUUUCCAUCCCUGUACACUUUUACAUAAAACAAGAAAGACUGCCACUGCAUGGACUUCAGAGCACUCAAAAUGUAGUCUGGGGAAGUUAUUCUGUCAUUUCCUAACUUUGUCUCUUCUCUACGGAAUCAUAAAGAACACAUGUUCUGAAUCGUCGGUCCAUCACAACUUCCAUCUGAGGCAGUGCUCGAGGAAGAGGGUGGCCUUGCUUUGCGAAUUUCACUUUCUGAUCAUUAGUGACAACAUCAUCCUCGUCCUCACUCAGCUUUCAUGAUGCACUUGAAACCUUGUGCCAUUUCUGGCCUGAAAAAUGCCUUUAAGAAAUGCUUCUGGGACAUCCCACAAGGAGGUCAUUGUUUUCGUAUUCAUUUCCUAGAGAUUUAGACCAUCGUGUGCUUCUAGCAAUGCUAACUGCAUGAGGUUGAUAUAUAAUGGUUGAUGGACUAAACCGUAGUGCAGUCCAUUUGUGAAAGGGUAGCUUCUCACUUCAAUGGACAGAAAUACAAUUUAAACAUGUUAGAAGUGUAGUUUUCAGUAAAAUCAGGACCAAAUGGGGUGUGUGGAAACUGAACCACUCAAAUCUUUUUUGUUGAAAAGUAACUUGAAAGCCAAGCUUUAGGGAGAUUAUAUUUUACUGUUCUUUCAAUGUGAAUUGGAAUGUACAGCAACUGCUGCUAUUUCAGCAAAUAAUAAACAUUAGUCUUCAAGAAUGUAAAAAUAGCACAAACCAAAGCAAUGUUAACCAUGAAUAGAGUUUAUCUCAUCUUUUCCUACGUAUAAUUCCCUGCAGCUUUUGAAUAAUGAUGGAGACAAUUACGGUAAAAAGUGCUAGCAAAUAGGAGUGAUCACAUAGGCAUUAUACAGAAAAUUGUAUGUACACUAUCUGUUUUCAGUGAUCACUUUACAAAAUCAGAGAGCUCUUGAUAUAAUGUUAAGGGAUACAAGAAGGAGGAAUAAUGGGCAUUGUCCAGAGACUAAGGGCUUUAGGCUGGAUUCAGUAACCAAGCAUGGCUUUAAGUCAUUUUGUUUUGGGAAAGAGGCAUGAAUUUUCAGUUUUACGUGAGACAGUCAUAAUAUAACUAUGGUAAGCAGAAGCAUUAUAGUAUGGGAAUUUUGCCAGUUUCUGAGUGUUGUCUAUUCCAAUUAUGCCUUCCAGAAGGGAAAUGACAUCAUGAUGGGUGCAGAGAACCACUGAACCCACUGAGACAGAUCUAAGCUAACACUCCCCAGACCACUUGACCUUCACAAGCCCGAGCACCAACUGGUAGACCAUGCGAUGUUCUAGGUCCUGGAAUUAGUGUCAGUUUAGAGCAAGCAUCCAUUAAUCCCUGAAGAAUCUGAUUAUUUCCUUUUACCCAAAGUCUGAUAAAAAGCCAUACAUCCCUAGGGGGAAGCCUGCGAGUUAACACUCAUGGUCCACACUUUGGGCCGUGUAACAGGGUCCUUCCUCCAGGGCACCCACCCUCUCCUUCAUUCAAGGGAUUCUAGAUAUGUAAACUGGUUCCACUUUGCAAAUUGAUCAAGGGGCUGUGACACCAUUUUAAGGACUCAAGUGAGAAUUUAGUUCCUUUAACCUAGGAUUCUUCUUUUUGGACAGUUCAAGUAAGAACUUGGUAGACAGCUCAUCCAUUCCUUUUCUAGAGACACAAUGAUCAACUAGUUGAUGCCAUAGGUCUCUGCAAGUCAGACUAUAAUGAUUGCUGUUUUGAUUCUGCUGUCCAUUAUGGUAACCACACCUAUCUUCUCCCUGAUGAUUAAGUGCUGCCUCUUGGCCCCUGCCAGGCCCGGAAUCCAAUUACUCCUAUUGCAUUGAAGGAUCCUAGUUCAGUGACAGUAAUCCCCACUGUCAUUUCUGGCCUACAGAGAAGAUUGGCCACAGAGCUCUGCAAUGACAUUGGGCUCCCCUCACAAAUUUAUUUCCAACAGUCCUAGUGAAAGGUGUGUCCUCUGGACCCUUCCAGAAUGGGUGACUAGGAGUUACAUGAUAAAGUCAUUCGAACAUUCCAAUCUUUAGAUCCCUUCCACCACAGUCUAUCAGGGAAGUUCUGACAUUUCAAAUUCAUUUACUGUUGGCCAUCUUUUUUUAACUUUUUUUUUAAUUAGAGUGUAGCGGAUUUACAAUGUUGUGCCAGUUUCUACUGUGCAGCAAAGUGAUUCAGUCAUAUUCUUUUUUAAAUAUUAUUUUCCAUCAUAGUCUAUCCCAGGAGACUGGAUAGAGUCCCCUGUGCUAUACCCUUAGACCUUAUUGUCUAUCCAUUCUAAAUGUAAUAGUUUGCACCUAUUUAGCCCAAACUCUCAGCCCGUCCCACUCGGUCCCCCUGCCCCCAGCAAUCACAAGUCUGCUCUCCAUGUCUGUGAGUUAGUUUCUGUUCUGUAGAUAGGUUCAUUUGUGCCACAUUUUAGAUACCAUAUAUAAGUGAUAUGGUAUUUGUCCUUCUCUUUCUGACUUACAUCACUUAGUAUGAGACGCUCUAGUUGCCUCCAUGUUGCUGCAAAUGGCAUUACUUUGUUUUUUUAUGGCUGAAUAGUAUUCCACCAAAUACAUGUACUGCAUUUUCUUAUUCCAUUCAUCUGUUGAUGGACAUUUAAAUUGUUUCCAUGUUUUGGCUAUUGUAAAUAGUGCUACAAUGAAUAUACAGGUGCAUUUAUCUUUCUGAAUUAUAUUUUUUUUCCUGGAUAUAUGCCGAGGAGUGGGAUUGCUGGUUCAUUCAGUGAUUCUGUAUUAGUUUUUUGAGACACCUUCAUACUGUUUUCCAUAGUUGUUGUACCAAUUUACAUUCCACCAAUAGUAUAGGAUGGUUCCCUUUUCUCCACACCCUCUUCAGCAUUUGCUAUUUGUAGACUUUUUUAUGACAGCCAUUCUGACCAGUGUGAAGUGGCACCUCAUUGUAGUUUUGAUUUGCAUGUCUCUAAUAAUUAGUAAUGUUGAACAUUUUUUCAUGUGCCUAUUGGGCAUCUGUAAGUCUUCUUUGGAGAAAUUUCUAUUUAGGUCUUAUAUCUAUUUUUAGAUUGGAUUGU